CUUUGUACUGAAGGGUGUGCCACCAGGGGACCUGCCCUCAUCUGACUCUGGGAGGCUUCCCUGAGGAGGUGAUCCUCCAAACCAAGAUGGAAAGAAGAGAACAAAGUUAACGGCAAAGCAAAUUGGAAAGCAUUCUGAGCAAAGGGCCUGACUAGGGAGGAAGGAGAGGUGAGACCAGACAAGCAGUUCUGGCUAUACAGAGCUUUGGAGACGAGGGCUGAGCUCCUGCCAACAUCCUGAGAGCAAGGGAAGCAGGGGAUGUGACCUGCCCUGGUAUGUUGCUGUAAUCUGCCUGAGACUCUGGCUGUUCUGUGGAGAAAUCAUUAGAGCAGCAUGGGUAGACAGGGAGGCAAGUUCAGAAGCUUUGUUGUAGUGGACAGGAUUUGGACAUGAUCUGCAUAUUCUGGUUAGUCUUGGUGCUGGAUGGAAUGAAGAGGGGCUGGAAGAGGGCAGCAUUCAGGAUGACCCUUGAGCUUCUGGUUUGCCUUACUGGUGAGAUGGCAAUGCCAUUUUGAGAGCUGGGGAGCCCUGGAAAGGGGCCGGGUCUGGAAGGUAGACCCCAAAUCCAGUGGUAAAAGCUGAGACAUCCCAAUGCGGAUGGAGAAGAAACAGCUGAAGGCACAGCUCCAGAGCACAAGGUGAGAAAUUAUGGAGACCAGUCCAGGGCUCCAGGGGGCUCCCAAAUGGAAAUAUGGAUCCAGAUGUUGACAGGCUUCUGGGGCAUUUUUAGGCCAGGGGAUGGCUGAGGACAAAGAAAUCAAGCCCAAGGAGCACCCACAUUUGGAGAUUAGAAAAGAGAAGAAGAAUCCUCUGAGAGCACUGAAAAGAAAGAGCUGGGAGGUGUCUCAGCAGAAAGACGGGGUGGUCAGCAGUGGGUGUGUGCAGAGAGGUCAGGAGGACCAGGGCGAUCCCUGAACUCCUCCAGUGUGCACCUGCACAACCUCCAUGGUGCCUCUGGAAUUGGGUAGUAUGGUGGCCCUGCUGAUGAGCACCCCAAGGGGCCAUUGGGGGACCUCUGAGAAUCUCUGCCAGAGCAGUUUGGGUGGCAGUCGAUUAAGGAAAGAAGAAGCAAGAUCCAGGACUUUUAAUCUUAAAAGAGAGAGCAAUGCUGGCAGAUGAACAUUCUGAGGAUAAGGAGCCUGAGUAAUUGAGCGAUUAGGGAUGGAGACAAUUAGUGAUAUGAGCUCCCAAAGGGGCUGGGAUCAACUGUGGAGGUGGAUAAAUUAGUUUGGGCCAAUAAUGGGUAUUUGACUGAAUGGGGCAAAAUUAAAUUAUGUACCUUUUAGAGAGUAACUUGAUCUCCAUGUUCUUUUGGGAGCUUUUAUCUGACCUGCGUACCGACUAUAGUUCUAAUUAGCACCAGUUUUAUCCUGUCUUUUGGCUGGGAUUAUGUCUUAUUAUUUUGUGUGUUUCUCAGCACCUAGCAACAGGUAGUAAGCUCCUUGGGUGCCGAAUCAGUAUUUUCUGCCUUGGAAUCAAAUGCCAGAAGUCAACACUCAAACUUCUUUUGACCAAAAAGAUUCUACGACAAUUAUCCAGAAGUUACAAUGCAAGGAAGAAGAAAUGGAUGUUAAGUCUUGCAUAGCAGGGGUUAUGGGGAGUGGAUCAAGACAAAGUAGAGGUAUCUGCUCCCCUCAUCCUUAUAAGCUCCAUGCCAUUUAUCCAUGCUCACAUUCAUCAUUUCAUACAAGCUUCACAUUUCCCCACAAGAAAUGGAGCAUUUCCCCAUUACCUACUCAUAGAGGAGGAGCUGGAAGCCAGAGAGGGAGAUGCCUUAUUGACACAGAGCACAAGUGGCAGGAGCUGGCUUCAGACCUCAGUCCAUCAGGUGUGGCAGUCCCUCUUCCCAGGACCAGGUGGAGCUGGAGAGAAAGAGGAAAAGGAGUCUGUGAGGUCCAGAUGGAGAUGCUCAGCAGGCCCUUUCCAAAGGUGGGAGGUGAGGUCGGUCUGGAACCCUACUGGAUGCUAAAGUGUCCUGCCAAACUGCUGAUGAAAGCAGGUCCCCACCACAGCCUAUAUACAUUGUGUGUUUGCAUCUAAAACGUCUAUAGUUGUUUGAAAUGUUUAAAUCUUUAACCCAUCUGAGAUGUAUUUUCAUGUAUGGUGUGACACAGAGCUCUAAUUUGCUCUUUUUCCAGAUAGAUAUCCAGUUUGCUAAGCACCAUUUAUUGUUCCAACCCCAUCUUUUCUCUCAAUUCCCUGUCUAGACUCCAGUUCUGUUGAUCUAUUUGUCUAUUUCUGAGCCAAUAGUACAUAUUAAUGAGCAAAGCUUAAUAAAGUGUCUAAUGGCUGGAUAAGAUAAGCACUCCACCCUUCCCCCAAGGCCUUUAUUCCUUUUUUUCUUUUUGAGACAGAGUCUUGCUCUGCCGCCCAGGCUGGGGUUCAGUGGUGCAGUCUCCGCUCACUGCAACCUUCACCUCCCAGGUUCAAGUGAUUAUCCUACCUCAGCCUCCUGAGUAGCUGGGACUACAGGCACGCGCCAUCAUGCCCGGCUAAUUUUUGUAUUUUUUGGUAGAGAUAGGGUUUCACCAUGUUGGCCAGGCUAGUCUCGAACUCCUGACCUCAAGUGAUCCACCCAUCUCGGCCUCCCAAGGUGCUGGGAUUAUAGGCAUGAGCCACCGUGCCCAGCCCCUUACUCUUUUUUAAAAUUGUCUUGGUCAUAUUGCACAUUUACUUUUUCAGGUACGUUUUAUAAUCAGCUUGUCAAAGUUCUGUGAACAAAAUAUCUGUUAGAAGUUUGAGAAGAAUUGCAUUGAAGGGGAAAUUAACAUGUUUAGAAUAUCAGUUCUUCCCAUCUGUGGACAUGGUGUCUGUCUCCUUUUCAUCAGAAUUGUAUUUGUUUUGUUUUGUUUUUAAUGCCUUUUAAUAAAGGUUGGUUGCUUUUGUCGUAAAGAUUUUUCACAGUUCUUAAUAGGUUUGUUCCUGAGAACCUUAUUAGUUUUGUUGCUUUUCUGAGUGGAAAAACUUUCCCGUUUUUCAUUUUGCUUUCCAAAUUUUAAUCAGUUUACUAAUCACUAUGCUUCAUUCACAGACACACACACAGCAAAUGUGCUUUGUCCCUGGGCACACAAAUGAAAACACAGCAGACAUGUAAAUCAGAGCUAAUUGGCUGAAAAUGAAUUAGAAUUUUUGAAUUAAAUUUUAAUUAUACAAGUAAUACAUGAAUACAUUUUCCUUUAAAUAAAAUUAGAGCAUUUCAGGUAAAGAAGUCUCUACUGACCUCCCCAACCUGACCUCAGGCCCCUUCCCCACUUUAGAGGUAACUGCUGUUAGGCAUUUGCUGUUGAUCCAAAAUGUUUUCCUAUGCGCAUUGAAACAUGUCCUGUGUUCUAUUGUUGUUUUUGUUUGCUUGCAUAGAUGUGGUGGUGUACAAACUGGAGGUGCUGCUCCCGAGCUCAGGGCGCCUUACGGGACUCUCCUCAUGUCGUGUGUCACCUGCCGCAGCUGGCUCCACUGCCCCUUUCAGCUGGCUGCUGGCAACCAGAACUGAUUGUGCUAUGAUUUAUUUAGUUGUUGCUUAUUGAUCAACUAUUAAAAGGCUUCCAUCUUGUUUCAAUAAGACAAACCUGUAACAGCAUCCUUGUAUAUACCACUUUUGCUCAUGUACAAGUGUUUUUCUCGGGUAGAUACUUAGAAUUGAUGGGUCAUAGAGUCUACACAUCUUAAAUUCUAAUAGUAACUGCUAAAAUGUUCUUCAAAGUACCUUUCUGAUUUAAUUUCUUGCCAGCAAUAUGUGUGUCCAUUUCUCCAGACCAUCUCCAAGUUUUAUAUUUUAACCAAUCUGGUGGGUGAAAAAUAAUAUCUUGUUUUAGUUUGCAUUUUUCUGAAUUAUCAGGAUGGCUGAAGUCUGUGUGUGUUUCCUAUCCAUUUAUAUUUCCUUCUCUGCAUUACUUGUCCAAAUCUUUUGCCCAUUUCUUUUUUUUUAGGGUAUGUUGUCUUUUCCUUAUUGAUUUUUUAGAAGUUCUUUAUGUAUUUUGUAUACUUUAUGUGUAUUGCAAAUAUUUUCUUUAUUGUGAUUCUUGUCAUUUAAUUGUAUUGUGUCUUUUGAGCAAUCUUAAAUUUUGAUACAGUCAAA
This 4075-nucleotide small RNA is filed under the name Pongo abelii (Sumatran orangutan). RNAcentral describes it as "processed transcript". The record is from RNAcentral. Lineage: Eukaryota; Metazoa; Chordata; Mammalia; Primates; Hominidae.